Molecule: ribosomal RNA, 458 nt
Filed under: uncultured bacterium
Lineage: Bacteria
Description: partial 16S ribosomal RNA
Rfam family: Bacterial small subunit ribosomal RNA
Source: RNAcentral
AGCGAACGCUGGCGGCAGGCCUAACACAUGCAAGUCGAACGAACCUUUCGGGGUUAGUGGCGGACGGGUGAGUAACACGUGGGAACGUGCCUUUAGGUUCGGAAUAACUCAGGGAAACUUGUGCUAAUACCGAAUGUGCCCUUCGGGGGAAAGAUUAAUCGCCUUUCGAGCGGCCCGCGUCUGAUUAGCUAGUUGGUUGAGGUAAUGGCUCACCAAGGCGACGAUGAGUAGCUGGUCUGAGAGGGGGAUAGGACACAUUGGAACUGAGACAGGGCCCAAAAGCGUACGGGAGGCAGGAGGAGGGAAUAUUGCGAAAGGGGCGAAAGGCUGACGGAGCAAAGGCGGGGGAGUGAGGAAGGUCUUCGGAGGGUAAAACUAUGGGAGUAGGGAAGAAAAAAUGUGCAAGUAAAUAUGCACGUAGUGACGGGACGGAAUAAGAGAGCCACGGAUGACUACGU